CUACGCACUCCUACGGGAGGCAGCAGUGGGAAUAUUGCACAAUGGGCGCUAAGCCUGAUGCAGCCAUGCCGCGUGUAUGAAGAAGGCCUUCGGGUUGUUAAAGUACUUUCAGCAGUGAGGAAGGUGGGUAUGUUAAUAGCAUACUCAUUUGACGUUAGCUGCAGAAGAAGCACCGGCUAACUCCGUGCCAGCAGCCGCGGUAAUACGGAGGGUGCGAGCGUUAAUCGGAAUUACUGGGCGUAAAGCGCAUGCAGGUGGUUUGUUAAGUCAGAUGUGAAAGCCCGGGGCUCAACCUCGGAAUUGCAUUUGAAACUGGCAAACUAGAGUACUGUAGAGGGGGUAGAAUUUCAGGUGUAGCGGUGAAAUGCGUAGAGAUCUGAAGGAAUACCGGUGGCGAAGGCGGCCCCCUGGACAGAUACUGACACUCAGAUGCGAAAGCGUGGGGAGCAAACAGGAUUAGAUACCCUGGUAG
This 472-nucleotide ribosomal RNA is filed under the name uncultured bacterium. Its description in RNAcentral is "bacterial SSU rRNA". It matches the Rfam family "Bacterial small subunit ribosomal RNA", at positions 329 to 793 of the family's 1533-position model. The record is from RNAcentral.